CAGGAAUAUGACAGAAGGCAUCACAAAAUAUCACAGAAGAUGAAACUACUGAAGCUGAGAGAGAAUCCAGGCUUAUCCAAGUUUACGAAGUUGCUUUGUACUAUCAAUAGGAUUAAAGUUAUAUAUUUUGACAUAUAACUUGAAAAUUGUUUUAAUACUGGUUUCAAAUGAUUAGGGAUCAGAAAUGGAACUAAGAACUUCUUGAUUCAAGGAGCUG
Long non-coding RNA from Cervus elaphus (red deer), 217 nucleotides. RefSeq lists it as uncharacterized. NCBI's taxonomy places the organism in Eukaryota, Metazoa, Chordata, Mammalia, Artiodactyla, Cervidae. The record is from RefSeq and is a predicted model, not a curated record. The transcript has 3 exons.